CCAGAGAGCUUCCGCCUUCGGUCCCCCCCUGCGCCUCUCAACGGAGAGGCGUCGCGGCGGCGACGAUUGCGGGAGUAUCCCACACCCGUGUCUAACAUACCUCUGUUGCUUUGGUGGGCCGUGGUCUCCACUACGGGUUCUACCUGUAUGUGCCCGCCAGAGGAUCAAAUUCUGAAUUUUUAAUGAUGUCGAGUACUAUAAUAAUAGUUA
RNAcentral lists this unclassified non-coding RNA (210 nucleotides) under uncultured Helotiales. RNAcentral's name for it is "sequence contains ITS1". The record is from RNAcentral. Lineage: Eukaryota; Fungi; Ascomycota; Leotiomycetes; Helotiales.